UAGUACAAAUGGUUAACAUGCUUGGUUGCUAACCAAAAGGUUGGUGGUUCAAGUCCACC
This 59-nucleotide transfer RNA is filed under the name Loxodonta africana (African savanna elephant). The record is from Rfam by way of RNAcentral. Lineage: Eukaryota; Metazoa; Chordata; Mammalia; Proboscidea; Elephantidae.